GACGAACGCUGGCGGCGUGCUAAACACAUGCAAGUCGAACGGAAAGGCCCUGCUUUUGUGGGGUGCUCGAGUGGCGAACGGGUGAGUAACACGUGAGUAACCUGCCCUUGACUUUGGGAUAACUUCAGGAAACUGGGGCUAAUACCGGAUAGGAGCUCCUGCUGCAUGGUGGGGGUUGGAAAGUUUCGGCGGUUGGGGAUGGACUCGCGGCUUAUCAGCUUGUUGGUGGGGUAGUGGCUUACCAAGGCUUUGACGGGUAGCCGGCCUGAGAGGGUGACCGGCCACAUUGGGACUGAGAUACGGCCCAGACUCCUACGGGAGGCAGCAGUGGGGAAUAUUGCACAAUGGGCGGAAGCCUGAUGCAGCAACGCCGCGUGCGGGAUGACGGCCUUCGGGGUGUAAUCCGCUUUCGCCUGUGACGAAGCGUGAGUGACGGUAAUGGUAAAGAAGCACCGGCUAACUACGU
Molecule: ribosomal RNA, 466 nt
Filed under: uncultured bacterium
Lineage: Bacteria
Description: partial 16S ribosomal RNA
Rfam family: Bacterial small subunit ribosomal RNA
Source: RNAcentral